Molecule: ribosomal RNA, 451 nt
Filed under: uncultured bacterium
Lineage: Bacteria
Description: bacterial SSU rRNA
Rfam family: Bacterial small subunit ribosomal RNA
Source: RNAcentral
CAGGCCUAACACAUGCAAGUCGAACGAAUUUUAAUAUAGCUUGCUAUAAUAAAGUUAGUGGCAAACGGGUGAGUAACGCGUGGGAAUCUACCCAGUAGUAAGGAAUAACAGUUGGAAACGACUGCUAAUACCAUAUAACCUCUUCGGAGAAAAGAUUUAUCGCUAUUGGAUGAGCCCGCGUCAGAUUAGGUAGUUGGUGGGGUAAAAGCCUACCAAGCCUACGAUCUGUAGCUGGUCUGAGAGGAUGAUCAGCCACACUGGGACUGAGACACGGCCCAGACUCCUACGGGAGGCAGCAGUGGGGAAUAUUGGACAAUGGGCGAAAGCCUGAUCCAGCAAUGCCGCGUGAGUGAUGAAGGCCUUAGGGUUGUAAAGCUCUUUCAGCAGAGAAGAUAAUGACGGUACCUGCAGAAGAAGCCCCGGCUAACUCCGUGCCAGCAGCCGCGGUAAU